GACGAACGCUGGCGGCGUGCUUAAUACAUGCAAGUCGAGCGAAGUUUUUCUGGUGCUUGCACCGGAAAAACUUAGCGGCGAACGGGUGAGUAACACGUAAAGAACCUGCCUCAUAGACUGGGACAACUAUUGGAAACGAUAGCUAAUACCGGAUAACAGCAUUAACUGCAUGGUUGAUGUUUAAAAGUUGGUUUUGCUAACACUAUGAGAUGGCUUUGCGGUGCAUUAGCUAGUUGGUGGGGUAAAGGCCUACCAAGGCGACGAUGCAUAGCCGACCUGAGAGGGUGAUCGGCCACACUGGGACUGAGACACGGCCCAGACUCCUACGGGAGGCAGCAGUAGGGAAUCUUCCGCAAUGGGCGAAAGCCUGACGGAGCAACGCCGCGUGAGUGAAGAAGGAUUUCGGUUCGUAAAGCUCUGUUGUUAGGGAAGAAUGAUUGUGUAGUAACUAUACACAGUAGAGACGGUACCUAACCAGAAAGCCACGGCUAA
This 492-nucleotide ribosomal RNA is filed under the name Gemella haemolysans. RNAcentral describes it as "bacterial SSU rRNA". It matches the Rfam family "Bacterial small subunit ribosomal RNA", at positions 28 to 500 of the family's 1533-position model. The record is from RNAcentral. Lineage: Bacteria; Bacillati; Bacillota; Bacilli; Caryophanales; Gemellaceae.